Molecule: ribosomal RNA, 1365 nt
Filed under: uncultured Flavobacterium sp.
Lineage: Bacteria; Pseudomonadati; Bacteroidota; Flavobacteriia; Flavobacteriales; Flavobacteriaceae
Description: 16S ribosomal RNA
Rfam family: Bacterial small subunit ribosomal RNA
Source: RNAcentral
AGUCGAGGGGUAUAGUUCUUCGGAAUUAGAGACCGGCGCACGGGUGCGUAACGCGUAUGCAAUCUACCUUUUACAGGGGAAUAGCCCAGAGAAAUUUGGAUUAAUGCCCCAUAGUAUAAUUUAUUCGCAUGAGUAGAUUAUUAAAGUUCCAACGGUAAAAGAUGAGCAUGCGUCCCAUUAGCUAGAUGGUAAGGUAACGGCUUACCAUGGCGACGAUGGGUAGGGGUCCUGAGAGGGAGAUCCCCCACACUGGUACUGAGACACGGACCAGACUCCUACGGGAGGCAGCAGUGAGGAAUAUUGGUCAAUGGACGCAAGUCUGACCAGCCAUGCCGCGUGCAGGAUGACGGUCCUAUGGAUUGUAAACUGCUUUUGUACGAGAAGAAACAUCCCUACGUGUCGGGACUUGACGGUAUCGUAAGAAUAAGGAUCGGCUAACUCCGUGCCAGCAGCCGCGGUAAUACGGAGGAUCCAAGCGUUAUCCGGAAUCAUUGGGUUUAAAGGGUCCGUAGGCGGUCUAAUAAGUCAGUGGUGAAAGCCCAUCGCUCAACGGUGGAACGGCCAUUGAUACUGUCUGACUUGAAUUAUUAGGAAGUAACUAGAAUAUGUAGUGUAGCGGUGAAAUGCUUAGAGAUUACAUGGAAUACCAAUUGCGAAGGCAGGUUACUACUAAUGGAUUGACGCUGAUGGACGAAAGCGUGGGUAGCGAACAGGAUUAGAUACCCUGGUAGUCCACGCCGUAAACGAUGGAUACUAGCUGUUGGGAGCAAUUUCAGUGGCUAAGCGAAAGUGAUAAGUAUCCCACCUGGGGAGUACGUUCGCAAGAAUGAAACUCAAAGGAAUUGACGGGGGCCCGCACAAGCGGUGGAGCAUGUGGUUUAAUUCGAUGAUACGCGAGGAACCUUACCAAGGCUUAAAUGUAGAUUGACCGGUUUGGAAACAGACUUUUCGCAAGACAAUUUACAAGGUGCUGCAUGGUUGUCGUCAGCUCGUGCCGUGAGGUGUCAGGUUAAGUCCUAUAACGAGCGCAACCCCUGUUGUUAGUUGCCAGCGAGUCAUGUCGGGAACUCUAACAAGACUGCCAGUGCAAACUGUGAGGAAGGUGGGGAUGACGUCAAAUCAUCACGGCCCUUACGCCUUGGGCUACACACGUGCUACAAUGGCCGGUACAGAGAGCAGCCACUGGGUGACCAGGAGCGAAUCUAUAAAACCGGUCACAGUUCGGAUCGGAGUCUGCAACUCGACUCCGUGAAGCUGGAAUCGCUAGUAAUCGGAUAUCAGCCAUGAUCCGGUGAAUACGUUCCCGGGCCUUGUACACACCGCCCGUCAAGCCAUGGAAGCUGGGGGUGCCUGAAGUCGGUGACC